RNAcentral lists this ribosomal RNA (653 nucleotides) under Elizabethkingia meningoseptica. RNAcentral's name for it is "bacterial SSU rRNA". It matches the Rfam family "Bacterial small subunit ribosomal RNA", at positions 90 to 742 of the family's 1533-position model. Lineage: Bacteria; Pseudomonadati; Bacteroidota; Flavobacteriia; Flavobacteriales; Weeksellaceae. The record is from RNAcentral.
UGAGAGCGGCGUACGGGUGCGGAACACGUGUGCAACCUGCCUUUAUCAAGGGGAUAGCCUUUCGAAAGGAAGAUUAAUACCCUAUAAUAUAUGAUUCGGCAUCGGAUUAUAUUGAAAACUACGGUGGAUAAAGAUGGGCACGCGCAAGAUUAGCUAGUUGGUGAGGUAACGGCUCACCAAGGCGACGAUCUUUAGGGGGCCUGAGAGGGUGAUCCCCCACACUGGUACUGAGACACGGACCAGACUCCUACGGGAGGCAGCAGUGAGGAAUAUUGGACAAUGGGUGGAAGCCUGAUCCAGCCAUCCCGCGUGUAGGAAGACGGCCCUAUGGGUUGUAAACUACUUUUAUCUGGGGAUAAACCUACUUACGUGUAAGUAGCUGAAGGUACCAGAUGAAUAAGCACCGGCUAACUCCGUGCCAGCAGCCGCGGUAAUACGGAGGGUGCAAGCGUUAUCCGGAUUUAUUGGGUUUAAAGGGUCCGUAGGCGGACUGAUAAGUCAGUGGUGAAAUCCGACAGCUUAACUGUCGAACUGCCAUUGAUACUGUUAGUCUUGAGUAAGGUUGAAGUGGCUGGAAUAAGUAGUGUAGCGGUGAAAUGCAUAGAUAUUACUUAGAACACCAAUUGCGAAGGCAGGUCACUAAGUCUUAACUG